UGCCAGCCGCCGCGGUAAUACAUAGGGGUCAAGCGUUGUCCGGAUUUAUUGGGCGUAAAGCGCACGUAGGCGGAUUAGUCAGUCAGAGGUGAAAUCCCGAGGCUCAACCUCGGAACUGCCUUUGAUACUGCUAGUCUAGAGUUCGAGAGAGGUGAGUGGAAUUCCGAGUGUAGAGGUGAAAUUCGUAGAUAUUCGGAGGAACACCAGUGGCGAAGGCGGCUCACUGGAUCGAUACUGACGCUGAGGUGCGAAAGCGUGGGGAGCAAACAGGAUUAGAUA
This 279-nucleotide ribosomal RNA is filed under the name uncultured bacterium. RNAcentral describes it as "partial 16S ribosomal RNA". It matches the Rfam family "Bacterial small subunit ribosomal RNA", at positions 506 to 784 of the family's 1533-position model. The record is from RNAcentral.